UACAGAGGUCUCAAGCGUUGUUCGGAUUCAUUGGGCGUAAAGGGUGCGUAGGUGGCGCGUUAAGUCAGGUUUGAAAUUUCGGAGCUUAACUCCGAAACUGCAUUUGAUACUGGCGUGCUUGAGGACUGGAGAGGAGACUGGAAUUCAUGGUGUAGCAGUGAAAUGCGUAGAGAUCAUGAGGAAGACCAGUGGCGAAGGCGGGUCUCUGGACAGUUCCUGACACUGAGGCACGAAGGCCAGGGGAGCAAACGGG
RNAcentral lists this ribosomal RNA (253 nucleotides) under uncultured bacterium. RNAcentral describes it as "partial 16S ribosomal RNA". It matches the Rfam family "Bacterial small subunit ribosomal RNA", at positions 524 to 776 of the family's 1533-position model. The record is from RNAcentral.